RNAcentral lists this ribosomal RNA (823 nucleotides) under uncultured bacterium. Its description in RNAcentral is "bacterial SSU rRNA". It matches the Rfam family "Bacterial small subunit ribosomal RNA", at positions 8 to 842 of the family's 1533-position model. The record is from RNAcentral.
AGAGUUUGAUCCUGGCUCAGGAUGAACGCUGGCGGCGUGCUUAACACAUGCAAGUCGAACGGAAUCACAAUUUAGCUUGCUAGAAUGUGAUUUAGUGGCGGACGGGUGAGUAACGCGUGGGUAACCUACCGUAUACUGGGGGACAACAGUUGGAAACGACUGCUAAUACCGCAUAAGAUCACAGCCUCGCAUGAGGCAGGGGUAAAAACUCCGGUGGUAUACGAUGGACCCGCGUCUGAUUAGCUAGUUGGUGAGGUAACGGCCCACCAAGGCGACGAUCAGUAGCCGGCCUGAGAGGGUGAACGGCCACAUUGGGACUGAGACACGGCCCAAACUCCUACGGGAGGCAGCAGUGGGGAAUAUUGCACAAUGGGGGAAACCCUGAUGCAGCGACGCCGCGUGAGUGAAGAAGUAUCUCGGUAUGUAAAGCUCUAUCAGCAGGGAAGAAAAUGACGGUACCUGACUAAGAAGCCCCGGCUAACUACGUGCCAGCAGCCGCGGUAAUACGUAGGGGGCAAGCGUUAUCCGGAUUUACUGGGUGUAAAGGGAGCGUAGACGGCGAUGCAAGUCUGAAGUGAAAGGCGGGGGCUCAACCCUUGGACUGCUUUGGAAACUGUAUUGCUAGAGUGCAGGAGAGGUAAGUGGAAUUCCUAGUGUAGCGGUGAAAUGCGUAGAUAUUAGGAGGAACACCAGUGGCGAAGGCGGCUUACUGGACUGUAACUGACGUUGAGGCUCGAAAGCGUGGGGAGCAAACAGGAUUAGAUACCCUGGUAGUCCACGCUGUAAACGAUGAUUAAUAGGUGUUGGGUGCUAUAAGCAUUCG